CAAUAGCGUAUAUUAAAGUUGUUGCGGUUAAAAAGCUCGUAGUUGGAUUUCUGCUGAGGACGACCGGUCCGCCCUCCGGGUGAGCAUCUGGUUCGGCCUUGGCAUCUUCUUGGUGAACGUAGCUGCACUUGACUGUGUGGUGCGGUACCCAGGACUUUUACCUUGAGGAAAUUAGAAUGUUUCAAACAGGCGCACGCCUUGAAUACAUUAGCAUGGAAGAAUAAGAUAAGACCUCGGUUCUAUUUUGUUGGUUUCUAGAGCUGAGGUAAUGAUUAAUAAGGAUAAUUCGAGGCACUCGUAUUUAACUGUCAAAAAUUAAUUCUUGGAUUUGUUAAAGACGGACUACUGCGAAAGCAUUUGCCAAGGAUGUUUCAUUGA
Molecule: ribosomal RNA, 378 nt
Filed under: uncultured eukaryote
Lineage: Eukaryota
Description: SSU rRNA
Rfam family: Eukaryotic small subunit ribosomal RNA
Source: RNAcentral